This 293-nucleotide ribosomal RNA is filed under the name uncultured bacterium. Its description in RNAcentral is "partial 16S ribosomal RNA". The record is from RNAcentral.
GGACUACUAGGGUUUCUAAUCUGCUUCGCUCCCCAAGCUUUCGUGCCUGAGCGUCAGUAGUUGGUUAGGUACCUGCCUACGCCUUUGGUGUUCCCGAUCAUCUCAACGCAUUUCACUGCUCCAUGAUCGGUUCCAGUACCCUCUCCAACACUCUAGUCCGGUGAUAUUUUACCCAAAACUAUGGUUGAGCCAUAGCAUUUAAAGUAAAAUCUAUCGGACCGCCUACGCCACUCUUUACGCCCAAUGAAUCCGGAUAACGCUUGCACCCUACGUCUUACCGCGGCUGCUGGCAC